RNAcentral lists this ribosomal RNA (253 nucleotides) under uncultured bacterium. RNAcentral describes it as "partial 16S ribosomal RNA". It matches the Rfam family "Bacterial small subunit ribosomal RNA", at positions 524 to 776 of the family's 1533-position model. The record is from RNAcentral.
AACGUAGGUUCCGAGCGUUAUCCGGAUUUACUGGGCGUAAAGCGCGUUCAGGCGGUUUGGCAAGUCGGGCAUGAAAUCUCUCGGCUCAACCGGGAGAGGUUGUCCAAUACUGCUGGACUUGAGGGCAGUAGAGGGUGGUGGAAUUCCGGGUGUAGUGGUGAAAUGCGUAGAUAUCCGGAGGAACACCAGUGGCGAAAGCGGCCACCUGGACUGCACCUGACGCUGACACGCGAAAGCUAGGGGAGCGAACGGG